UAAACAUUGUGAAUAACUACGAGUAACAGUAACAUUAUCAUAUCGCUCGAAGGUCUAAUAAAUCUAAGAAAAUCUCACAUACACUGCCAUCAUUGUAAAGCUAAUAACGAUUGAAAUGUACAUAAUAAGUAUUUAAAUUUGCCCUACAGAUAACACUACUGAGGUGGUCAUGAAGCAAUGAAAUCACCAAAAAUCAUGCCAUUCCAAGAAUUCGAAGAUGCUGCUUCUUGAUGCUGUGUGUAUGUAUUGAACUCGAAGGCGUUUAUUUUUGACCAACUAAAACUAGGCAAAUGUAGAUGAUAUAUCUCUCAACUAAUAGGCCUAAUGUAUGCCCAAUUAAGGGCCUAACAACUCACUUGUGUUGAGUGAAGAAUUAUGAUUUAGCUAAUUUUAAAAGUGUUCUGUUCUUUGCGCUGUUCAUUUUUGCUUUGCUUUGUUAAUUAUUGUUGCCUAUGAGUCUUUGGGCCCUUCUUCAAGAGAAGGUGUCACAGAGUGCUAACAAAUAAGGACAAGCAGAACCAUAACUUUUCUUUAACCUUGGUUAUUUUGUUUCAUUUCACAAAGCAGUCUUAUUUUUGUUUCAGUUGACCAUUGUCAAUUAUGAGUGCACAGUGCUGUUCCUUUAAGAUCAGUCAAGGUCAACAUAGCAUGCAGGCAAGCACACAGGAGCUUGAGAAAAUAAAUACAAGACAAUCAGGCACAUGGUGAUAAAAAUGUUUUAAUUAUCCCCUCACAAUAAAAAAACAAGGUCUUUAAAUGUUCUUUCACCCAGUCAUUAGUGCAUGAACUGUAUUUGUGCCAGUCUAGCUUCCAUUCACUCAGUGGUGCAGAAAGUGUGUCCUACAUCAUAAUGCAGUUGUGAUUGCCGAAAACCUCUGUUAAGGAAGAUUAAAGUUGGUAUACAUACAGAUAUAUUUAAACAGUGACAGUUUGGUGAAAGACUCAGGUAAUAUGAAUUAGUAGUUUUUGUAUUUCAAUCAACUGAACAUGCCCCAGUUAAUAGGAUUUCAGGGGGGUGUCCCUUCAUAAUUAAAUGUGUACUCCAUAUACUAUGAAACAACCGCAGUGUAUGAACGACUGAGGUAUUAUGACAUGGAUCUUAGAACAAAGUGUGCAGGUCUCAACACAACUGUCUAUCUAGGUUAAAUGUUGCCAUGUCUUGCAGUGUUUUAAGAUGCAUAAAUAGGCCAUGUGAGGAGGAUAAUCUGAGUAUUAAGAUUUUAAAAAUAAUCUUUUGCAAACUGUACAUGAGUAUGAAAGUUUAAACUUUCUGAUUAAACAUUUAAAAAAUAAGUGACAAUAUACUGUAAUAUUGUAAUAUUGUACUGUAUACUGUAGCUUAUUCUUCUGCCUAGCUGGCUUUGCAGAGGUUAGGUCAGAAUAGUGUUCACUGUGUGAACUGUGUUCUUGGCUAGAGAUAGCUGUACAAAAUAAGUAUUGUACCUUACUGAACCUGUGUUCAGCAGUUGUCUAUGACCAUGAAAUGCACUUUUUGUACGUCGCUUUGGAUAAAAGCGUCUGCCAAGUAAAUGUAAUGUAAUGUAAUGUAAUGUAACAAUAAUAGUGCCACUCUGAGACCAACUGACAUACUCCAAUAACCCCCUUUAUCAAACAAAAGUAGGCUGGCUUUCCCCUUAGUUGUAUGGCAGCAUUAAUACUAUUAUGGCAUUUUACAAUAGUUUGACAAUUUGAAAAACUAUCCAGUCACAUUAAAAUAGUAUUGUAUUGUACAUCAACUGAAGAAUUUCCUCUGCACUGCUCGACAUAACAUCUAAUUUAAUGCACGUUAUUAAGUAAUCACAUGCAAAGUGUCAAACUGUGGUCCACAUGGUCUUAGGGCGAGACAAGUCAUUAAUAAGGCCAUUCUGUUGGGUGCCUGUUCCUGAUGAAUCCUUAGCAAUGUUAUUGUUUGAAAUAAUUUUACUGCAGUCAGCAUUCUCAGUCUCACAGCUAGUAGCAUAUUGACUCCCCAGCUUAGAUAGGGGUUGUUGGGAGACAGUCAAGGUGCCAGAUGACUUGCUUCAAUUGGCCCUCGCUGUCUGAAGAAAGCAAUCAACUCUUGCAAAGCACGGCUGACCCUGUGUUUCUGUCUGAAACCACACAGGCCCAACUUCCGCCACUUAACUUCUGCCAUUCACAAUCCUCUCUGCAUUCCAAGUAAAUGAGGGCUAUGGGAAGUAUACUGUUCAAUUAUAUAUGUCAUGAAAUGUUGGGUUGCAGUAUAUGACCAUAAAAGCAAGAAAAAAACAAAAAAAAUUCCAGCUACACAGAGGAAGAAAAUAGUUAUUUUAUGGUUUAAAACAUCUUUGUAAAGAUAAAAGAUUUUUUUUUGCUAUUGCUAUAUUUUACUUAAUGCAGUUUGAUAGUUUAGUGAAGUAGCAUAAGAGGUAAUUUGCUGUAUGACAGUUAUAGAAAUGUAGGAAUAAUUCACCAAACUUAAUUGCAUGAUUUAGCACAGGAUUAUAGCUCUGGAUAUACUCUGUAUCUAUAGCAUAUUGGUUAUACUGGAAAAAAUAUAAUACCAAAAUGUCUAUAACAUCUCCAGUACCAAGCGCAGGGCUGUGUUGAAUGCUGCGUCAAACCACACUGAGCCAAAAGUUUUCCUGUUCUGAGUAGGCGGGCAUGUAUGUGUGUAUCUUACAAGUUUCCAUUUCCGAUUUCUGUCGAAGGUUCAGCCAAAAACCGAGGAUGCAGAAGAUCAAGUUGUAGCAUUGUAGCAAAGGGGCUGUAUGAAUAUCAAAUAUGCAUGUAUGGCACACACAAGCAAAGAAAAAAACACUCGCCACAGGCAGUAUGUUAGUUCCGUCCCUGCAGCAAGAGCUAAGUACCUUGCUAGAAGAAAGCUGCCAGAGAAGAAAACAGCAAGGAAAGAUUACAUAUUUAAAAUUCAAGUGAGCUGUCAAAGAGAGAGAAGAAGAAACAGAGAGACAAAUGGAGGGCUGCAUCCAGAAGUUACAGGGAUAGGAAAAAGAUGGAAAAUGCUGUGUUGGAUCUUACACCACCGUCUAUGGAGAACACUCCACCAGUUCUGGCUGUCCUAUUAAUCUUGCUUAAAAAACACUGAAUUCACUUAAUUUAAUGUUUUUGUAUAAAUGCAUGUGUACACAACAUUCCAAAUGUUUGAACAAUUGCCAAAGAUAUCCUUUCUUUUUUGUAUUUUAAAAUUGGCCUAUUCAAAAUCCUUAUCCGUCAUUGACCCAUAAAAGCAAAUAAAUGAAAUUCUGCAUCUGCGAAUGUAAUUUCUGCCAUCUGGUCGUUAACAGUUCCUUGUGGAACUAUAGUUAACACCUGUUUUACCAUGGGGUACAAAACAAGAUUACACAUAUGAGUAAUUCAUUAGCAGCUGUCAUUCUAAUGCUGAAAUGAGGGACCUUUUCAGAAAAUAAACCUCAUCCACUGCUCAGAAUCUAUGAGUCAGGAGAAAAUACAGUAAAACGGUCAAAAAGUCAAACAGAAAACUUUCCACAAUUGUGUGGUCUAUUCUGAAGUCAAAGGUUCUGGGACAACAGCUACUUUUUCAAGAAGACAGUGUUUACCACAUCGCACUACCGAGUAACGGGAGGAAAAUUGUUUGUGGGGCUCUCUCAAGGGCAAUGACAGGAUAUAGAUGAGAAAUAUAUUCGAAGUCCUACAGUCACUGAAAUAAAGAGCAUCCUUUCUGCAUCGGUGGCAUGAAUCUAAGUCGGUAAUGAGUAGGAAAAAUGUUUCCUGUGUUCAGUGGGCCGAUCAGUAGACAGAGAAAAGCUGAAAUCCCAGAUAUCCGCCUUCCAGCAGAUGCAGAAUUAUUGUUACUUGGUUUCAUUUUGCAAUGUUUUAUUCUGUGAUUAUAUAAAUAUUGCAGUAAAUCCAAAUUUAAAAUGUAUAGUAUUACAAUUCAAAGGUAAAAAAAAAAACUGGAUACAGUGACUUCAAAACAUUUUGGCUUGCAAUUAUUAAUUAUGGUUUUUUUAGAAUAGCACAAAUUACCAUUUGAAUGACGCAUAUUUUAAUAAUUGGUGAAUGGAAGACCACUAGACAAUAACGUUAAUUCAAUGUUUUAAAUCACGAAAAAACUUGUUAUAUCAGCACCAGUCCUGGGUCUAAACCCGCUACUCCCUCCCCAUUCUCUUUCGCGCAUUGUGUGGCACUGCGAUGACCUCCAGUGAUUCAGCUUCAGAGAGAGACGUGAGGAGGGAGUGUCAGCUUGUGUACAGCGCGCUCGCUUCAAUCAGUGUAAUGAAGAGAAAAAAUAAUGACCGUAUAACCUUCAACAUUCAUCGCCCUGGUAUCAAUUUGUUACCACGGUAACCGGUAAUGCAGAAUACCGGCGUAGCCAAAGUUGAAAGUAGUUCUGUGUUGCUCCUGUGUUGUGUUUGGUUAAUGGCCUCAGUACGGCUUCUUGCAAGAAACUUUAUGGCAAAGCUAUGGUUUUUGUUAGGCCUGGUCCAAAUACUGGGAAAUAAAUAGAUUUAUUUAUGUUUUGAUGUCUCAUCAUUUACAGUAUGCCAACCUCUAGGUAUGAAGAUAUUAUUGUGACUUAGAUGUAGAUAGAUCAGACCACAUUUAAUGACUAAUUAAUGCAGAAAUCCAAGUAAUUCCAAAGGGCUC
Molecule: long non-coding RNA, 4587 nt
Organism: Anguilla rostrata (American eel)
Lineage: Eukaryota; Metazoa; Chordata; Actinopteri; Anguilliformes; Anguillidae
Exons: 3
Source: RefSeq, a predicted model, not a curated record